ACAAAGGUGAAGAGGAAGAGGAGUACAUUAUUACUUCCGCCAGAGAGAACCGCCCUCAGGCUGUAAGGCGGUUUCGGAAAAGGAUAGUGGAAGGUAGCUUUUGAACCGGAUAGCCGAAGAGCAUCUGAGGAUGGCUGAUAUGAUCAGCAGGCGGGAUGCGGGUAAGUUAUCCCGGAGUGGUCCACGUUACAGGACUUGAGAGAUAUAUUUCCCGGAGCGGAACAAUCACGCGGAAACCAGGGAAAUGUAUGAAAUAAGGUGGUACCGCGGAAUCUUCGCCCUUUAC
Molecule: non-coding RNA, 286 nt
Filed under: Lachnoclostridium sp.
Lineage: Bacteria; Bacillati; Bacillota; Clostridia; Lachnospirales; Lachnospiraceae
Description: T-box sequence
Rfam family: T-box leader
About the family: Uncharged tRNA acts as the effector for transcription antitermination of genes in the T-box leader family.
Source: RNAcentral